This 485-nucleotide long non-coding RNA is filed under the name Phoenix dactylifera (date palm). RNAcentral's name for it is "long non-coding RNA (PDAC_LNC009868)". Lineage: Eukaryota; Viridiplantae; Streptophyta; Magnoliopsida; Arecales; Arecaceae. The record is from RNAcentral.
AGGCGUAGGAUUGGCCAGUCCUACGACUUAUAUUCUGCUUACCGCCGGGCAUAGUAAGACCCCGCGAGGUGCAGUAUGGCUUUCGCGGAUGUAGAAUUCCCGCGAGGUGCCGUUUAGUAUAUAGAUGUGAGAUGGAUUUCUGUUCUGGAUACUGGCUUGCAUUUAUAUUACCAGUAUGGUGUCUUAUUCUGCAUAUGCAUGUGAUACUGGGGAGUUGUUGCUGGUUCGCCUGGGGCGUAAAACCCACCUUCCGAUAGCUAUCUAGCAUUUAUAUUAUUGGUAUGGUGUCUUAUCCUGCAUAUGCAUGUGACAGUAGGGAGUUGUUGCUGGUUCGUCUGGGGCGUAAAACCCACCUCCCAAUAGCUGUCUUGUUGAUGAUUCAGCAUAUUGACACCUGAUUUGUAUAUUCCAGCAUUAUGAUCUGUUGAAUAUAUUCAUGAGUAGUAUAUAUGUUUACUCGAUUAUUCCAUAUAUGCUUCAGAUGA